GUAAACCAUUUAAGAUGGUUUUUAAAAGGGAAACAGGUGAAAAUCCUGUGCAAUGCCGUUGCUGUAAGGGUGAAUGCCCGGCAAAUAUGUCACUGAGAAAUUGGGAAGACUGCCGGGUGUGAUGAUACCUGAGCCAGAAGACCUGCUUGAUUC
Molecule: non-coding RNA, 153 nt
Filed under: Blautia faecis
Lineage: Bacteria; Bacillati; Bacillota; Clostridia; Lachnospirales; Lachnospiraceae
Source: RNAcentral